This 484-nucleotide ribosomal RNA is filed under the name uncultured bacterium. Its description in RNAcentral is "partial 16S ribosomal RNA". It matches the Rfam family "Bacterial small subunit ribosomal RNA", at positions 30 to 507 of the family's 1533-position model. The record is from RNAcentral.
AUUGAACGCUGGCGGCAGGCCUAACACAUGCAAGUCGAGCGGAUGAAGGGAGCUUGCUCCUGGAUUCAGCGGCGGACGGGUGAGUAAUGCCUAGGAAUCUGCCUGGUAGUGGGGGAUAACGUCCGGAAACGGGCGCUAAUACCGCAUACGUCCUGAGGGAGAAAGUGGGGGAUCUUCGGACCUCACGCUAUCAGAUGAGCCUAGGUCGGAUUAGCUAGUUGGUGGGGUAAAGGCCUACCAAGGCGACGCUCCGUAACUGGUCUGAGAGGAUGAUCAGUCACACUGGAACUGAGACACGGUCCAGACUCCUACGGGAGGCAGCAGUGGGGAAUAUUGGACAAUGGGCGAAAGCCUGCUCCAGCCAUGCCGCGUGUGUGAAGAAGGUCUUCGGAUUGUAAAGCACUUUAAGUUGGGAGGAAGGGCAGUAAGUUCAUACCUUGCCGUUUUGACGUUACCAACAGAAUAAGCACCGGCUAACUUCGUG